AUUGAACGCUAGCGGGAUGCUUUACACAUGCAAGUCGAACGGCAGCGCGGACUUCGGUCUGGCGGCGAGUGGCGAACGGGUGAGUAAUGUAUCGGAACGUGCCCGGUAGCGGGGGAUAACUACGCGAAAGCGUAGCUAAUACCGCAUACGCCCUACGGGGGAAAGCAGGGGAUCGUAAGACCUUGCACUAUUGGAGCGGCCGAUAUCGGAUUAGCUAGUUGGUGAGGUAACGGCUCACCAAGGCGACGAUCCGUAGCUGGUUUGAGAGGACGACCAGCCACACUGGGACUGAGAGACGGCCCAGACUCCUACGGGAAGCAGCAGUGGGGAAUUUUGGACAAUGGGGGCAACCCUGAUCCAGCCAUCCCGCGUGUGCGAUGAAGGCCUUCGGGUUGUAAAGCACUUUUGGCAGGAAAGAAACGGCGCGGGCUAAUACCCCGUGGAACUGACGGUACCUGCAGAAUAAGCACCGGCUAACUACGUG
This 484-nucleotide ribosomal RNA is filed under the name uncultured bacterium. RNAcentral describes it as "partial 16S ribosomal RNA". It matches the Rfam family "Bacterial small subunit ribosomal RNA", at positions 30 to 507 of the family's 1533-position model. The record is from RNAcentral.